UUUCCGUAGGUGAACCUGCGGAAGGAUCAUUAACGAGUAACUGAACAGGUUGUAGCUGGUCUCUCGGGGCAUGUGCACACCUGGCUCAUCCACUCUUCAACCACUGUGCACUUAUUGUAGGUCAGCAGAAGGGCGAGUCUAACAGCUCGCUCGGAAGCCUUCCUAUGUUUUAUUACAAACGCCUCAGUUUAAGAAUGUAAACCUGCGUAUAACGCAACUAUAUACAACUUUCAGCAACGGAUCUCUUGGCUCUCGCAUCGUGAAGAACGCAGC
RNAcentral lists this unclassified non-coding RNA (273 nucleotides) under uncultured fungus. Its description in RNAcentral is "sequence contains ITS1, 5.8S rRNA gene". The stretch from base 226 to 273 matches the Rfam family "5.8S ribosomal RNA", at positions 1 to 49 of the family's 154-position model. The record is from RNAcentral. Lineage: Eukaryota; Fungi.